This 1900-nucleotide long non-coding RNA is filed under the name Equus asinus (donkey). RNAcentral's name for it is "lncRNA (ENSEASG00005031196.1)". Lineage: Eukaryota; Metazoa; Chordata; Mammalia; Perissodactyla; Equidae. The record is from RNAcentral.
AGCCCCGGUCAAGUCUUCAAUGACUGCAGCCCUGGUGACACCCUGACCGCAACCUCAGGAGAGACCUGAGCCCAACCCACCCAGCUAAACCACUGCUGGAUUCCUGACUCUCAGAAACUGUGAGGUGACACAUGUCUGUGGUCUUCAGCUGCUAAAUUUCAGGGAGGACAACCUAAGACCUCGUGAGAGCAACCCUUGGCUGACAGCUAACGAGAAAACAGAACCCUCAGUUCUGUGACUGCAAGGAACCGACUUCUGUAAACACCUGGACAAGUCUGGAGGAAGACGCCAAACUAAGCUGUGGCCAACACCUUGAUUUCAACCACAUGGGACCCUGAGCAUAGAACCCAGCUAUGCUGGCUCCAGACUUUAGAGCCAUGAAAACCGUGAGAUAACAAACAUAGGUUGUUUUAAACCACUGUAUUUGUGGCAAGGGUUUGCAACAAUUAAAAACUAGCACAAAGUUAAAACGCAACAUUUAACUUUUCAAAGUCAAUCAGGAAGCAUAAUAAGGUUCUUUUGACAGACUUCCUUCCCCGUUUGAAGUUAGAGACAAUGGAUCACAAUAACAAAUUUUAAUUCAGUCUCACAUCGAGCUUUAUCCAGAGUAUUGUUGAGUAUCAAGAAUAUCCAGAUUCCCAGAUGCAUAGUUAUUAAUAGCUCAAUUGGCAAAUUCUGGGUGCUCUUCCGUUAUACAGAGCUGAGAAGAGAAGCUUAACAUCAGAGUCCGUCCCAGGGAAAUUUUGCCUGGCAGUCCAAGUUAAUGAUCUGGUGGUCCUGGCUGUGUUAAAUUCGGUCUCCAACAUCUUGAGAGUUGUAGGGAUUUUUAAAAAUUACAGUUUUAAAAAUAGCUAAAACUAUGUUUUUAAAAGAAUUUUAAGUGAAAUAUUUGGGAAAUCUCUGAAGGGCGUCUAUGAAAUCCAGGGCUCAGGAGACAAAGGCAGCAUCCAGAAUUGGCAAUUUACCUGAGGUCUUUCCAGCUGCACCUUUUUUAUUGAUCUGAAAUUACCUUAGUGGGGGCCUUAGCCUUCUUUCACACGAUCUUAGAAGGAGAGUAGGUUACAAGUAUUUAUACACACACGGAUGUGAGUGUGUGUGUGUAUAUAUAUAUGGCGUUCUAUGUGAAUGUAUUCAAAGGAAGCAUUGUAUAUGUAUACAUAUGAGACAUUAUAUAUGUGCAUAUACAUGAGGCUUUGUGUGUGUGUGUGUGUGUAUCUAUGGCAUUAUCGCUGUGUAUGUAUUUCUGGAAAGGGAGUAGGGGUGGAGCUAAGGGCACUGAGGAAUACAGGCCAAUGUGUGUAUAUAUAGAAAAUAAUUUGAGAAUGUAUAUACAAUUAUUUGAGAAUUUAAUAGUUACUGUCUUUAAGUUAAACUUUAAUCCUCUGCUGAGUUUUUAUUUUCUAUCCAGUGAAGGAGAUCCUCUCACCACCGGGGACAAAGAGGUUUGGUGUCUGUCAAGCCUGCCCUGGAACUCUGAUUCCAGUUGUGCAAAGAGACACGGUCUAGAACAGAGUUUUCAACCCCAGCCCUGUUGACACUUGGGGUCAGAUAAUGUCUCAUGCGUUGUAGGAUGUUUAGCAGCAUCCCUGGCCUCUACCCACCAGAUUCCAGUAGCAGCCCCUCAAACCGCUCCAAGUCAUGAUAACCGAGAUGCCCCCUGGGGCACUGCCCCAGUCAAGAGCUCUGCUCUGGAGGGACCCGGCUUCAGGCACAGAGCAGCUGUUCCCGAAAUAACGUUUCUUCUUCUUUUAGGCUUCUGCCACCUGGCACUCAGUAUUCAGGGAUCUUCAGUCCUCUCAAGCAGGAAAAUUUUGUGGAACUCUAGACUGCAGUAGACAUAAUCCAGAAAUUAUAAAUUUUUAAAGAUCCCCGUUUCAGAAAUGGGGAAACUGAGACCCAG